GCCGCCCGCUGUCUGCCUCCGUCCAGCCCCCACCGUCGCGGGCCUCCCUCUCCGGCGCGCGCCGCCUCGGUCGACGAGGAGGCGCGCCGCACCAUCUCAGAUCCCAAUGUCUGGAUAGCCGGGAGUUUGAAAAGAGGCUGCGGAAGCUCCCCAGUGAUGUGUAGGUUCUCAAGGUUCCUGUGCAUUUACCGAGAUUUGAAAGCGAGUGUAAAAAAAAUUGCAUCCUUGUGUUCUACAAAAAGUGUGCAGAGAAGAAUUACAGUGAAGUCAAGGCUGACAAAGCUGUGAACCAGGUUGGAACAUUGGAUGAACUGAAGUUGUUGUUGCCCAUGGAGCUGCAAAUGUGUUGUCAGAUUAGUUGUACUUACUGGCCAAAUGAACCAAAAGUUCAAUAUGCCAGAUACAAGGGUUUCCUAUGAUAAAAUUUCAGUAGAGUGUACCACAGUGUGUUCGGCACUUACACAACAUAUAGUGAAUCCAUUCCUGUCAAGUCUGGCAGAGGGCCUGUCAAUUUAUUGUUUUCUAGAUGCCUGACAAAGAAUAAGGUUGGUUAUUUGUUAGAAUUGAAGGCUAGCACAUUCAAAUACUGAUCAGAGAUUCAGAGUAACCAGAAAAUUACAAUUCUUGUAGUUUUGUGAGGCUAUUGAUGCUGGCAGGAACAGGUCCAGUCAGUUGGUAAUUUCUGUCGAGACGCCUGUGCAUAUUGAGUUGUAUGGAUUAUAUACUGAAUGGUCACUCAGUUAGAAGAAAGCUGGUUAUAAGCCUGCUCAGAAAAAGUAUGCACUUACAGGACUUCAAGUUUAGUUAAAAGGGUCAAUGUGGGAGGAAUGCCGCCAGUGAAAUUGUUGUUAUCAAGCAACCUGAAUGACAAGAACAAUGGGUAAUCUUGAGCAUGACAUAACAGAUUAAAAGUAAUGAAACAGUUUGCAAAUAUUAUCUAAGGUUAUCUUUGCCUUACAGAUGUAUGAGCUUCAUAUUUGAUUUGAAUAGCUGGCUUGGUAUGGUGCCUGAUAGCUGGUUGACCCCAAAAUGACUGAAUAAAGAGCAGUCCGAACAUUUUCCUUAGAAUGGAAGCGAGUGAACUGAAAGCCUGGUAGAUAUUUUAAGAAAGGUACUCACAAAUGCAGAGCGUUUGUCAAAUUGUCCAAUCCAGUAUUGGUUCCAUCAGAUACUGGAAGUGAUCCAGUCAGACGAUUUUCACCCAAGUCAAGCCAGUACAUAUUUGAAAGGUUGCCAAUUGAUGGAGGCUUUCAAGGUUACUCAAGGAUCCAAUGUUCGGUGGAAGUGGACCGCUCAAGUUGUUGUAAGACAAGUCCCUGCAUAUGAUCAAAAUAGAUUCAUCAGCAUCAAACAAGGCAAAAGCUUGCCCAAACAGAUUCAGCACCAUUAAGCAAGAUCCAUGUUUUCAGGUCUUGUUUAUAGCACUGGAAAGCUUAGCACGAAUUUGACAAGAUAGUAGCACAUACAGGUACUGUAAUUCUGACAAUGACUGUAUGUCACCUGAAAGUGAUCCGGACAAUCCAAAACUUGACAGCCUUCUGCAAACCAUCCGAGAAAAAAGAGAGAGAGAAAAUCAUUAGUUGAAACAUAGAGGAAACAACAUGUUGAUUCCACAAAGUAUAAGAAAGGGCAAAGGGGAGAAAGAUCAUGUUGAUUUGGCUAAAAUGGUUCUUACAUUGAGGUGACACGAUUCUGGGUGCAGUACACUCCUGGCCAUUUUUCGCCGCAUGGAUCAUUACCAACCCAUUCUGAUAGCUUGGACUUGGCGUUAUCCCAGGAAGCUGCUAUGCCAUUUAGGGCAGAGGCUACAAAGCGAUGAGAGUGAAGAAACAUCAUCAUGAAACAAAAUCUAGUUUUUUACAGCAAAUUAACCAGAAACUGGAAUGAGACUGAAACACUUACUAUCUUGUGGAUCUGUAUCUGCUGAGAUUAUGAGAGCGUGGUCAAGAACAAUGAUCAGGAAGACUAACAGAUGGAUGAUCCUCCAAGAAGUUGGAGAAUGCCCCAUAGUGAUCUUGAUUUCAGGUUGCUGAGAAGCCCUUUCUUAUGCAAGGUUAGCAACUCUCCACUACUAAAAUUUUGUGCACUUGCAACUACGCGAUGUUAUGAAGGCUGAAUAGGCACAUCAGUUGUGUAUUAGUUAAUGGAAUCAGUCAAGAAUGUGACUGUCAUCUCCUCUCAAUGGAUGCCUUUUAAAAAAUCAUCCAAUUAAUGGUGAAGGCCCCAAAUUUUAUCAAGCGAGAGAGAGAGCAAUGCGAGUCAACUGUACGCUAUUGGCUGGCAGGGGAGCAUGAAGUUAUCUGCCAUGAAUUAGGAUCUGACUGAUUCAAAUUAUUAUUACCAUGUUUGAAGUAUCACUCCUUUUAAGAGAUUUAUAUGUAUUGCAUGCAUAUUAUAUUUGGUUGAAUGUUGUAGAUUUUAUUUGGUGUAUAUUUAUGGUAGGAUUGACUUUGGAAAAUUACCAAAGAUUGGGACC
RNAcentral lists this small RNA (2476 nucleotides) under Oryza sativa Japonica Group (Japanese rice). Its description in RNAcentral is "sRNA Os11g0245000". The record is from RNAcentral. Lineage: Eukaryota; Viridiplantae; Streptophyta; Magnoliopsida; Poales; Poaceae.